CACGUAGUUGGCCGGUCCUUCUUCUGCACCUACCGUCACCGCCUUUAAUGGCGCUUCGUCGGUGCUGAAAGAGGUUUACAACCCGAAGGCCGUCAUCCCUCACGCGGCGUUGCUGGAUCAGGCUUUCGCCCAUUGUCCAAUAUUCCCCACUGCUGCCUCCCGUAGGAGUCUGGGCCGUGUCUCAGUCCCAGUGUGGCCGGUCACCCUCUCAGGCCGGCUACCCGUCGAAGCCUUGGUGAGCCCGUUACCUCACCAACAAGCUGAUAGGCCGCGAGCACAUCCUCCACCGAAAAAACUUUCCAACCAAGAUCUCAUGCAAAACUUGGUCGUAUUCGGUAUUAGCCAUCGUUCCGAUGGUUAUCCCGAAGUGAAGGGCAGAUUACUCACGUGUUACUCACCCGUUCGCCGCUCGUGUACUCCCGAAGGACGCCUUACCGCUCGACUUGCAUGUGUUAAGCACGCCGCAGCGUUCGUCUGACGCCAGAGUCAACUCU
This 494-nucleotide ribosomal RNA is filed under the name uncultured Nocardioidaceae bacterium. RNAcentral describes it as "partial 16S ribosomal RNA". The record is from RNAcentral. Lineage: Bacteria; Bacillati; Actinomycetota; Actinomycetes; Propionibacteriales; Nocardioidaceae.